GACGAACGCUGGCGGCGUGCUUAACACAUGCAAGUCGAACGGAAAGGCCCUGCUUUUGUGGGGUGCUCGAGUGGCGAACGGGUGAGUAACACGUGAGUAACCUGCCCUUGACUUGGGGAUAACUUCAGGAAACUGGGGCUAAUACCGGAUAGGAGCUCCUGCUGCAUGGUGGGGGUUGGAAAGUUUCGGCGGUUGGGGAUGGACUCGCGGCUUAUCAGCUUGUUGGUGGGGUAGUGGCUUACCCAGGCCUUGACGGGUAGCCGGCCUGAGAGGGUGACCGGCCACAUUGGGACUGAGAUACGGCCCAGACUCCUACGGGAGGCAGCAGUGGGGAAUAGUGCGCAAUGGGCGGAAGCCUUAUGCAGCAACGCCGCGUGCUGGAUGACGGCCGUCGGGUUGUAACCCGCUUUCGCCUGUGACGAAGCGUGAGUGACGGUAAUGUGUAAAGAAGCACCGGCUAACUACGUG
RNAcentral lists this ribosomal RNA (468 nucleotides) under uncultured bacterium. RNAcentral describes it as "partial 16S ribosomal RNA". It matches the Rfam family "Bacterial small subunit ribosomal RNA", at positions 28 to 507 of the family's 1533-position model. The record is from RNAcentral.